AAGGGCACCACAAGAACGCGUGGAGCAUGUGGCUUAAUUUGACUCAACACGAGAAAUCUUACCGGGUCCGGACACACUGAGGAUUGACAGGUAUUAUUGAUUGUUUUUAACAAUCAUGUUAAAUAUGCUAGUCCUUUCAUGAUUAUGUGAUAGGUGGUGCAUGGCCGUUCUUAGUUCGUGGAGUGAUCUGUCUGCUUAAUUGCGUUUCACUAAGGGUUUAUUCAAAAAGUAUAUAUUAUACAUUGACCCCUUUCUUAACCGGAAGUGUGUUUGUCUUUGUUAAUAUUACAUUUAAACCCUGAAAGCAACGAACGUGACCGCAACGUCUUGUUGCCUGAACUGUUUUUAUUAACAAAAUCAGGCUGUUAAAACUAGGCGGACCGCUGUAACUUUUUUAAACCAGAGGAAGGUUGCGGCAAUAACAGGUCUGUGAUGCCCUUAGAUGUUCCGGGCUGCACACGUGCUACAAUGAUUGUUGCAGAAAGCAUCUAUAUUUUUGAUUGUUCUCAAAGACUUUAUCGUCGGAAGGAACCACGUACUGUCUUUAGUGUUGUUCGUUCAUUCGGGCAACACUAUUCAUGACUAACGUGCAACCUACCUCGAAAGUUCGGUAGGCAAUCAAUUCCAAGUGACAAUCUCCCGCGCACAAAUCAAAUGUUACCUUUUCGGAUGACAGUUUACUCUGUCUUCGAUGGUUAACAUGUGCUCUAUUAAUUCGUGGUCGGGACAGACCAUUGCUAAUUGUUGGUCUCGGUCUCAACUAGGAAUGCCUUGUACGGGUCUCUGGUUCAACAAACCACCCGGAAUACGUCCCUGCCCUUUGUACACACCGCCCGUCGCUCUUACCGAUGGACUUCUCUGUGAGUUUGAGGGACUGGUCUUCUCUCUUGAGUAAUACUAUGGAAACUCAAACGAACAGUGUGGUCUAAAGGAAAGAGAAGUCGUAACAAGGCAUCGGUAGGUGAACCUGCAGAAGGAUCA
Molecule: ribosomal RNA, 981 nt
Filed under: Foraminifera environmental sample
Lineage: Eukaryota; Foraminifera
Description: bacterial SSU rRNA
Rfam family: Eukaryotic small subunit ribosomal RNA
Source: RNAcentral